UUUUUUUUUGUAAAACCAGAACCAAAAACCAUAGACAAAAAACAUGACAGGGUGGCAGCUAGCAAAAGAACAGUAUUUUAAGUUCCUGCUUUACCCUUUUUUAAUUUUUGAAUAUACAAAAUUAGAUUUGCUUUUUUACUGACUAUUCUUGUCGAUUACAGGAAUAUGGGUAUAUAUAUUUAUUUAUUUAACAUUUUUUAAAUCAAAUUAUGUAUUACUUUUUUCUUUUUCUUUUUUUUCUUUUUAACGGUCUCCCCACACACAAGCUUUAUCGACAAGCAUGCUAUGAAUUUUC
This 295-nucleotide long non-coding RNA is filed under the name Capsella rubella. Its description in RNAcentral is "long non-coding RNA (CRUB_LNC001976)". The record is from RNAcentral. Lineage: Eukaryota; Viridiplantae; Streptophyta; Magnoliopsida; Brassicales; Brassicaceae.